This 497-nucleotide ribosomal RNA is filed under the name uncultured bacterium. RNAcentral describes it as "partial 16S ribosomal RNA". It matches the Rfam family "Bacterial small subunit ribosomal RNA", at positions 28 to 507 of the family's 1533-position model. The record is from RNAcentral.
GAUGAACGCUGGCGGCGUGCCUAAUACAUGCAAGUCGAGCGAACGGACGAGAAGCUUGCUUCUCUGAUGUUAGCGGCGGACGGGUGAGUAACACGUGGAUAACCUACCUAUAAGACUGGGAUAACUUCGGGAAACCGGAGCUAAUACCGGAUAAUAUUUUGAACCGCAUGGUUUAAAAGUGAAAGACGGUCUUGCUGUCACUUAUAGAUGGAUCCGCGCUGCAUUAGCUAGUUGGUAAGGUAACGGCUUACCAAGGCAACGAUGCAUAGCCGACCUGAGAGGGUGAUCGGCCACACUGGAACUGAGACACGGUCCAGACUCCUACGGGAGGCAGCAGUAGGGAAUCUUCCGCAAAGGGCGAAAGCCUGACGGAGCAAAGCCGCGUGAGUGAUGAAGGUCUUCGGAUCGUAAAACUCUGUUAUUAGGGAAGAACAUAUGUGUAAGUAACUGUGCACAUCUUGACGGUACCUAAUCAGAAAGCCACGGCUAACUACGUG